Molecule: long non-coding RNA, 355 nt
Organism: Clupea harengus (Atlantic herring)
Lineage: Eukaryota; Metazoa; Chordata; Actinopteri; Clupeiformes; Clupeidae
Source: Ensembl
CUCCCCUACACCCACCUGUGUGUCCAUGAAGAGUGAUGAGUCCAUGUGGCGACCAAUCAACAUUACAGGAGGAGACUCUUCAACUGGACAGAUGGGGGAAUCUAGCUCUAACAGGAGGUCAAACUCCCCUACACCCACCUGUGUGUCCAUGAAGAGUGAUGAGUCCAUGUGGCGACCAAUCAACAUUACAGGAGGAGACUCUUCUACUGGACAGUCAGACUCACCCGUCUCUGCCAGUGAGUUCAAGGUGCCUCCAUCAGACAUCAGAAGACAAGGAGACUCUUCUGCUGGACAUUGCCAACUCGGUCAAAUAAAUGUACAAAUGCAUCAGAUCCACAAGUCUCAUCUGCAGAAA